RNAcentral lists this ribosomal RNA (546 nucleotides) under uncultured delta proteobacterium. RNAcentral's name for it is "bacterial SSU rRNA". It matches the Rfam family "Bacterial small subunit ribosomal RNA", at positions 899 to 1439 of the family's 1533-position model. The record is from RNAcentral. Lineage: Bacteria; Deltaproteobacteria.
ACUCAAAGGAAUUGACGGGGGCCCGCACAAGCGGUGGAGUAUGUGGUUUAAUUCGAUGCAACGCGAAGAACCUUACCUGGUCUUGACAUCCCGGGAAUCUUUAGGAAACUAGAGAGUGCCUUCAUUUGGAGGAGCCCGGAGACAGGUGCUGCAUGGCUGUCGUCAGCUCGUGCCGUGAGAUGUUGGGUUAAGUCCCGCAACGAGCGCAACCCUUGCCUUUAGUUGCUAGCAGUUCGGCUGAGCACUCUAAAGGGACUGCCGGUGUCAAACCGGAGGAAGGUGGCGAUGACGUCAAGUCCUCAUGGCCUUUAUGACCAGGGCUACACACGUACUACAAUGGCCGAUACAAAGGGCAGCGACAUUGCGAAAUGGAGCCAAUCCCAUAAAUUCGGUCUCAGUCCGGAUUGGAGUCUGCAACUCGACUCCAUGAAGUUGGAAUCGCUAGUAAUCGCGGAUCAGCAUGCCGCGGUGAAUACGUUCCCGGGCCUUGUACACACCGCCCGUCACACCACGGGAGUCGGUUGUACCAGAAGCAGUUGAGCUAAC